This 484-nucleotide ribosomal RNA is filed under the name uncultured bacterium. RNAcentral describes it as "partial 16S ribosomal RNA". It matches the Rfam family "Bacterial small subunit ribosomal RNA", at positions 29 to 523 of the family's 1533-position model. The record is from RNAcentral.
AGUGAACGCUGGCGGCGUGCUUAACACAUGCAAGUCGAACGAGAACGGGUUAUAGCUUGCUAUAAUUGUCAGCUAAGUGGCGCACGGGUGAGUAAUGUAUAGGUAAUAUGCCUCUUACUAAGGGAUAACAAAUGGAAACGUUUGCUAAUACCUUAUACUCCUUAUUAACAUAAGUUAAUAAGGGAAAGAUUUAUUGGUAAGAGAUUAGCCUGUAUUGUAUCAGUUAGUUGGUGGGGUAAUGGCUUACCAAGACUUUGACACAUAACUGGUUUGAGAGGAUGAUCAGUCACACUGGAACUGAGACACGGUCCAGACUCCUACGGGAGGCAGCAGUGGGGAAUAUUGCACAAUGGACGAAAGUCUGAUGCAGCAACGCCGCGUGGAGGAUGACACAUUUCGGUGCGUGAACUCCUUUUAUAUGAGAAGAUAAUGACGGUAUUAUAUGAAUAAGCACCGGCUAACUCCGUGCCAGCAGCCGCCGUAA